Molecule: microRNA precursor, 66 nt
Filed under: Caenorhabditis briggsae
Lineage: Eukaryota; Metazoa; Nematoda; Chromadorea; Rhabditida; Rhabditidae
Description: Cbr-Mir-36-o23_pre stem-loop
Rfam family: mir-36 microRNA precursor family
Source: RNAcentral
GGUGGUUUUUCGCCGUAGUGAUACAACAUCGAAGCCAUACGAUAUCACCGGGUGAAAAACUCCCAA